RNAcentral lists this non-coding RNA (24 nucleotides) under Arabidopsis thaliana (thale cress). Lineage: Eukaryota; Viridiplantae; Streptophyta; Magnoliopsida; Brassicales; Brassicaceae. The record is from RNAcentral.
GUUUUAGUCUCCAGAUCUUGUCCC